Molecule: ribosomal RNA, 497 nt
Filed under: uncultured bacterium
Lineage: Bacteria
Description: partial 16S ribosomal RNA
Rfam family: Bacterial small subunit ribosomal RNA
Source: RNAcentral
GAUGAACGCUGGCGGCGUGCCUAAUACAUGCAAGUCGAGCGAACGGACGAGAAGCUUGCUUCUCUGAUGUUAGCGGCGGACGGGUGAGUAACACGUGGAUAACCUACCUAUAAGACUGGGAUAACUUCGGGAAACCGGAGCUAAUACCGGAUGAUAUUUUGAACCGCAUGGUUCAAAAGUGAAAGACGGUCUUGCUGUCACUUAUAGAUGGAUCCGCGCUGCAUUAGCUAGUUGGUAAGGUAACGGCUUACCAAGGCAACGAUGCAUAGCCGACCUGAGAGGGUGAUCGGCCACACUGGAACUGAGACACGGUCCAGACUCCUACGGGAGGCAGCAGUAGGGAAUCUUCCGCAAUGGGCGAAAGCCUGACGGAGCAACGCCGCGUGAGUGAUGAAGGUCUUCGGAUCGUAAAACUCUGUUAUUAGGGAAGAACAUAUGUGUAAGGAACUGUGCACGUCUUGACGGUACCUAAUCAGAAAGCCACGGCUAACUACGUG